UACGGGGGGGGCAAGCGUUGUUCGGAAUUACUGGGCGUAAAGGGCUCGUAGGCGGCCAACUAAGUCGGAUGUGAAAUCCCCAGGCUUAACCUGGGAACUGCAUCCGAUACUGGAUGGCUUGAAUCCGGGAGAGGGAUGCGGAAUUCCAGGUGUAGCGGUGAAAUGCGUAGAUAUCUGGAGGAACACCGGUGGCGAAGGCGGCAUCCUGGACCGGCAUUGACGCUGAGGAGCGAAAGCCAGGGGAGCAAACAGG
This 253-nucleotide ribosomal RNA is filed under the name uncultured bacterium. Its description in RNAcentral is "partial 16S ribosomal RNA". It matches the Rfam family "Bacterial small subunit ribosomal RNA", at positions 524 to 776 of the family's 1533-position model. The record is from RNAcentral.